UUGGUUAGAACUCAACACAGGUUGACGUCGCAACGGCGUCAACACCUCGGCUCGUCACGCCGGCAACGAGCCACCAACGGCAGAAUGAUUCUGCCCCGGCCUCGAUAGAGGUCGACGCUAAGUAACAGUCAAC
Pseudomonas fluorescens is the source of this 133-nucleotide non-coding RNA. The record is from Rfam. Lineage: Bacteria; Pseudomonadati; Pseudomonadota; Gammaproteobacteria; Pseudomonadales; Pseudomonadaceae.